ACAGAGGGUGCGAACGUUGCUCGGAAUUAUUGGGCGUAAAGCGCACGUAGGCGGUUUGUUAAGUUGGAUGUGAAAACCCCGGGCUCAACCCUGGAAGUGCAUCCAAAACUGGCAAGCUAGAGUGUCGGAGGGGGUCGGAGAAUUCCCGGUGUAGAGGUGAAAUUCGUAGAUAUCGGGAGGAACAUCUGUGGCGAAGGCGCCGACCUGGACGACAACUGACGCUGAGGUGCGAAAGCAUGGGGAGCAAACAGG
Molecule: ribosomal RNA, 252 nt
Filed under: uncultured bacterium
Lineage: Bacteria
Description: partial 16S ribosomal RNA
Rfam family: Bacterial small subunit ribosomal RNA
Source: RNAcentral